GAUGAACGCUGGCGGCGUGCCUAAUACAUGCAGGUCGAGCGAACAGACGAGGAGCUUGCUCCUCUGACGUUAGCGGCGGACGGGUGAGUAACACGUGGAUAACCUACCUAUAAGACUGGGAUAACUUCGGGAAACCGGAGCUAAUACCGGAUAAUAUAUUGAACCGCAUGGUUCAAUAGUGAAAGACGGUUUUGCUGUCACUUAUAGAUGGAUCCGCGCCGCAUUAGCUAGUUGGUAAGGUAACGGCUUACCAAGGCAACGAUGCGUAGCCGACCUGAGAGGGUGAUCGGCCACACUGGAACUGAGACACGGUCCAGACUCCUACGGGAGGCAGCAGUAGGGAAUCUUCCGCAAUGGGCGAGAGCCUGACGGAGCAACGCCGCGUGAGUGAUGAAGGUCUUCGGAUCGUAAAACUCUGUUAUUAGGGAAGAACAAAUGUGUAAGUAACUAUGCACGUCUUGACGGUACCUAAUCAGAAAGCCACGGCUAACUACGUG
RNAcentral lists this ribosomal RNA (497 nucleotides) under uncultured bacterium. Its description in RNAcentral is "partial 16S ribosomal RNA". It matches the Rfam family "Bacterial small subunit ribosomal RNA", at positions 28 to 507 of the family's 1533-position model. The record is from RNAcentral.